This is an RNA transcript of Heteronotia binoei (common prickly gecko), 2700 nucleotides long. It is a transcript of the gene named CDC42 effector protein 3, with no coding region annotated. The record is from RefSeq and is a predicted model, not a curated record. The transcript has 3 exons. NCBI's taxonomy places the organism in Eukaryota, Metazoa, Chordata, Lepidosauria, Squamata, Gekkonidae.
GAGCCAUGAAAGGCUGCUUUGUUGGCUGACUGAUCACUGGAGAGAAACACAAAAUGGCAACUGAAUACAGCAGGCAAGGGAGAUUGAAGCAGACCACAGCCAGCUGCAGGAGGGCCUGAUUGGAGCCCUCUGCAGGCCAGAUCUGGCCCGCUGGCCGCAUGUUUGACACCCCUGGUCUAAAGAUGUCAGAUAAUGUGUUAGACCUUGACAUGGUUCCAGAUGCUUCCACAAGACUACAAGGAUAUGGACGGUUUCUGAAGUCCUGGAAGUAAGGGAGAGCUCUCUUGUAUCUUGGCAGAGUGUCAGCCAUUGAACCUGGAGGAGGAAACCUACACUGAAGUUCUCUAAGUUCCAGAUUUCUGUUACUUGAAAGAAUCACUGGUCAAUAAUGUGAAGAAGAAAACACUUAAGAUUUUUCUGGAGAAGAAGACCUCAUAUUUGUGGACUGUUUUUUUGUUUGUUUGUUUGUUUGAUGUUUAUAAUUCUUCCUUUGUAAGCCAGGCUUUGUCGAGCACCACCAAAAGAUGCCAGCAAAGACACCCAUCUACCUGAAAGCUGGCAACAAUAAGAAAGGGAAGAAAUUCAAGUUGAGGGACAUUCUGUCUCCUGACAUGAUCAGCCCACCUCUGGGUGAUUUUCGCCACACAAUUCAUAUUGGGAAAGAAGGACAACAUGACGUUUUUGGAGACAUCUCAUUUCUGCAAGGAAAUUAUGAGCUCUUACCUGGGAAUGAGGGAGAAUCAACAGGCAGUCAGUGUGGAGGGCACAAUGAGUUCCUGAGGGCAAACAGCACUUCUGACUCUGUGUUUACUGAAACUCCUUCCCCGGUGCUUAAAAAUGCCAUAUCACUUCCUGCCAUCGGUGGUUCUCAAGCCCUCAUGCUGCCCUUGUUGUCACCGGUGACAUUUUAUUCAAAGCAGGACUCUUUGGGGCCGUUAAGGAAUCCCAGACACAGUUGUGAGCCUGUAAUGGAAGAAAAGUUGCAGGAGAAGAGCAAACAGUUAGAGAAUGGGAAAAUAUACAAAGAUGACAUCACAUGGCAGCGGAACGUCCCAACAUCGCAUUAUGCUAACGGAAGAGACAGUCAUUCAUCCAGCCUUUCAGAACAAUACACUGAAUGGCAAACAGAGGACUUAUUUGACAAUGGCCAUCUUUCAUGUGAUUUAACCAAGACUCAAGUAAAAUCUGAAGAAUCCCUCUCAGAUCUGGCUGAGCCCCUCCUGUCUCUCCAGAUUGAUCUGGGGCCCUCACUUUUGGAUGAAGUGCUCAAUGUAAUGGACAAAAACAAAUCAUAGAACAUGUUACUCUUUUCACUUCAUGAUAAUACAACUGAAAUGUAAGGGCAUCAUCCAGCAAAAGCUAAGCACUUGAAACCACAGUCCUCCUAUACAAACUCCCUGGGAAAUGAGACUUCUUGAACUCAGUGAGAAUUACUUCUCAGUAAACAUGUAUAGCAUAGGGCUUUCAUAUCUGCUGAUUUCAGUGGGAGACUUAAACAUGCUUAACUUUGACUGUUGUACCUUCUAUCUAUAUAAAAUCAAUUCUCUUUGCAGUUGACAAGUUUUCUAGAAUGAAAUAUUUUUUUACUUAAUGUCCAUGAUUUUUUAACAUGGCAAAUGUCUUACAUCAAGGGGACAUAAUUUUCUUCCAAAUGUAAAAUGUUUUAUAAGAACUAAAACUCGUUGUCAACAUAAUACUUGGGCAAACUCUAAGUUAAUCCAGUUCAUUUUCAGGAUCUUUUUUCUCCAGGAUCCUGUAUGUACUCAGCAGAAGAUUUAUGAAGUGAAGGUUAAAUGUUAAUGAAUUCAGCAUUACUUAAUAUGUAACUCCUCUCCUUCCCAGAAUGGUAGAAUUGUUUAAUAUUAGCAAUGUUUUUCAUUCUUGUUGCACUGUUAUUCCUCAGUGUUGAAACAUAAGUAUGUACUCAGAUGGGAAUGGCCUUUUCUUUUUUUGUUCAACUAAUAUGGAAAAUAGAGAGCCAGUGUGGUGUAGUGGUUAAGCACAGAAUCUGACAGAACUGGGUUUGAUUCCCUGCUCCCACUCGUGAAACCUGCUGGGUGACCUUGGGUCAGUCACAUUCUCUCAGCUCCCAUCUACCUCACAGCGUGCUUGUUGUGGGGAGAGGAGGUGAAGGUGAUUGUAACUCACUUUGAUACUCCUAUCUGUAGAGAAAAGUGGGGGACAAGAACUGACCCUAUUAUGGAAAGUAUAUGUAGCCAAUACAAUGGUGCCAUAGAAAUUACUUGAGCCUCCAGUGCUAACUCAAAUGUAUUGAGUCUUAGGAAAUCCGGUUUAAAAAGAUGAAGUGUCAAACUGCAGUUGCAAUUAAAUUAUUUUAGGAGCUGGAAUCUAUUUUUAUGCACAUUAGACUUUUAAUUGUAGGUUCUACAUACAUACAGGAUUGCACCAGAAAGCUGUUGCUUGGCAUUUUCUUGGAAAGCAUUUGUAUAAAUUGUAUAUUUGUGUGUGUGUGCAGGAAAAAAAUGUAUUUGAUCCUUUAGCUUUGUUCUUUCAGUUCUUGAUGCUGUCACACAAAUGUUACAUUUUGCAAUGGAUUAUUUUAUGUUUUAGAGGAAGGCACUGACUAUCACAAUGCUCAAAUGAGAUUGUGCUGCAGAAGAUAGUAUUCCAGGGAAUGUAGCGAUGUCCCUGCAUUGCGUAGAUACUUUGUGCAAUACAAUAAAAAACUAAAUGUGGGAA